This is a non-coding RNA of Acanthosepion pharaonis, 94 nucleotides long. NCBI's taxonomy places the organism in Eukaryota, Metazoa, Mollusca, Cephalopoda, Sepiida, Sepiidae. The record is from the annotation of a GenBank genome assembly.
UAACACUUGUUCUCGUACGAUCACUGAAGUUAAGCAACGUCGAACCAGAUCAGUACCUAGAUGGGUGCUUACUUCGGAAUACCAGGCGCUGUAA